Molecule: ribosomal RNA, 576 nt
Filed under: uncultured bacterium
Lineage: Bacteria
Description: bacterial SSU rRNA
Rfam family: Bacterial small subunit ribosomal RNA
Source: RNAcentral
CCUACGGGAGGCAGCAGUGAGGAAUAUUGGACAAUGGGCGCAAGCCUGAUCCAGCCAUGCCGCGUGCAGGAAGACGGUCCUAUGGAUUGUAAACUGCUUUUGUACAGGAAGAGACACUCCCUCGUGAGGGAGCUUGACGGUACUGUAAGAAUAAGGAUCGGCUAACUCCGUGCCAGCAGCCGCGGUAAUACGGAGGAUCCAAGCGUUAUCCGGAAUCAUUGGGUUUAAAGGGUCCGUAGGCGGUUUAAUAAGUCAGUGGUGAAAUCUGGUCGCUCAACGAUCAAACGGCCAUUGAUACUGUUAGACUUGAAUUAUUAGGAAGUAACUAGAAUAUGUAGUGUAGCGGUGAAAUGCUUAGAUAUUACAUGGAAUACCAAUUGCGAAGGCAGGUUACUACUAAUGGAUUGACGCUGAUGGACGAAAGCGUGGGGAGCGAACAGGAUUAGAUACCCUGGUAGUCCACGCCGUAAACGAUGGAUACUAGCUGUUCGGAGCAAUCUGAGUGGCUAAGCGAAAGUGAUAAGUAUCCCACCUGGGGAGUACGUUCGCAAGAUGAAACUNAAAUGAAAUUGACGG